Molecule: ribosomal RNA, 484 nt
Filed under: uncultured bacterium
Lineage: Bacteria
Description: bacterial SSU rRNA
Rfam family: Bacterial small subunit ribosomal RNA
Source: RNAcentral
AGUGAACGCUGGCGGCAGGCCUAAUACAUGCAAGUCGAACGGCAGCACAGCAGAGCUUGCUCUGUGGGUGGCGAGUGGCGGACGGGUGAGGAAUACAUGGGGAAUCUGCCCAGUCGUGGGGGAUAACGUAUGGAAACGUACGCUAAUACCGCAGUGCGCCCUAAGGGGGAAAGCCGGGGACCGCAAGGCCUGGCGCGAUUGGAUGAGCCCAUGUUCGAUUAGCUAGUUGCGGGGUAAAGGCCCACCAAGGCGACGAUCGAUAGCUGGUCUGAGAGGAUGAUCAGCCACACUGGAACUGAGACACGGGUCCAGACUCCUACGGGGAGGCCAGCAGUAGGGAAUAUUGGACAAUGGGGGCAACCCUGAUCCAGCCAUGCCGCGUGAGUGAAGAAGGCCCUCGGGUUGUAAAGCUCUUUUGUCCGGAAGAAAGCAAUCGGUUAAUACCCGGUUGUCCUGACGGUACCGGAAGAAUAAGCACCGGCUA